GUUUAUUUCCAGCACAGCAUUAACACUAACAUUGUAGUGACACCAUAGUGUGCGUGCUGUUGGUGUGAGUAGUGUGAGUGCUGUCAGUAUUGCUAAGAUUUUUUUUUUGAACACCUUAUUCUCACUGCUGGUCAUGACAUGGUCAGACACUGACAUUAAGGAACAUAUAAAAGGUAAUUAUACACACACACACACACACACACACACACACACACACACACACACAGGCAUUGUGCAUAGAAAAAGAUGGGCUAUAACCUCGAUCUGUUCAUCUACACCUUCUAGCAAUACUGCUCUGGUUGAUACACCCAUAUAGCACAACACACAUGACUAUGCUGCUAUUGUCCAAUACUGCCACUGCUGUGCUUAGAAUGGUACACCACCCAAAUAUGGUGGUCUCUUUCCAUUAAUAGACAGGACAGGGGGUGGCAGACAAGUUGUACACAUACAAAUUGCUACAUGCAAAUCUACAGACAGGUGAUUAAAAGCAAAAACAACUUAAAACGACUUAGUUAGGUGUUGAUCCACCAGAAGUCACCAUAAGAGCUUCAUUGUAACUUGGCAUAGAUUCUACAAGUGUCUGGAAGUGUACUGGAGACUGAAUACUGUGCUUCCAAAAUAUAUUUCUUCCAUUUGUAUUUUGACAACGGUGAUGGGGAGCACUCUCUAACACAUCAGUCCAAAAUUACCCAUAAGUUUUCAGGUGGGUUGAGAUCUCAAAACCAUUCAGUGACCAGACCCUAGUUGCCCUGUGGAUGGGGAUAGAAUAACUUUGUAUUUGCAGGGUUCCUUCCUUAUAAGGGGACAACAAAUGGACCUAAACCAUGCCAGCAAAAUGUCCCCCAGCAUAACAGAGCCAUGAGUAUUUCACUUUUGUCAUCUGUCCGGUAUCUGUAAAGAGAGAGAGAGAGAGAGAAUGAAUGUGUUUAUAAUCCCCUCUUGGCUACUCUUUAUUUUUAUUUUUUAUUCAUCUGCAGUGUUUCAGCUGCCUUCCAUUUAAAUAGCCAGAAAAACAGCUGAGAAGCUCCCCUCGCAUAGUUUCUAUACCGCUUUCUCUUCCUCCUCCUUUCCUCCCCCACUCUUCCUCUUUCUACCUCCCUUUGUUUGCCUGCUGCUCUCUCAGUUAGUUUCCACCAACUACCUUCGUCGGACUCUGAUUGGUCGGUUUGUUUGGGAGGCGGGGCCACUCUUCGCCUAGUUACG
Long non-coding RNA from Ictalurus punctatus (channel catfish), 1203 nucleotides. NCBI's taxonomy places the organism in Eukaryota, Metazoa, Chordata, Actinopteri, Siluriformes, Ictaluridae. The record is from Ensembl.